GACGAACGCUGGCGGCGUGCCUAACACAUGCAAGUCGAACGGGGUUAUUUCCUUCGGGAGAUAACUUAGUGGCGAACGGGUGAGUAACGCGUGAGGAACCUGCCUUUCAGUGGGGGACAACAGUUGGAAACGACUGCUAAUACCGCAUAAUGUUAUUUGGGGGCAUCCCUGAAUAACCAAAGAUUUAUUGCUGAAAGAUGGCCUCGCGUCUGAUUAGCUAGUUGGUGAGGUAACGGCCCACCAAGGCGACGAUCAGUAGCCGGUCUGAGAGGAUGAACGGCCACAUUGGGGACUGAGAUACGGCCCAGACUCCUACGGGAGGCAGCAGUGGGAAUAUGGGCAAUGGGGGAAACCCUGACCCAGCAACGCCGCGUGAAGGAAGAAGG
This 386-nucleotide ribosomal RNA is filed under the name uncultured bacterium. RNAcentral's name for it is "bacterial SSU rRNA". It matches the Rfam family "Bacterial small subunit ribosomal RNA", at positions 28 to 414 of the family's 1533-position model. The record is from RNAcentral.